Molecule: ribosomal RNA, 253 nt
Filed under: uncultured Lutimonas sp.
Lineage: Bacteria; Pseudomonadati; Bacteroidota; Flavobacteriia; Flavobacteriales; Flavobacteriaceae
Description: partial 16S ribosomal RNA
Rfam family: Bacterial small subunit ribosomal RNA
Source: RNAcentral
UACGGAGGGUGCAAGCGUUAUCCGGAAUCAUUGGGUUUAAAGGGUCCGUAGGCGGGUCAUUAAGUCAGGGGUGAAAUCCUACAGCUUAACUGUAGAACUGCCUUUGAUACUGGUGGUCUUGAGUUUUAGUGAAGUAGAUAGAAUAUGUAGUGUAGCGGUGAAAUGCAUAGAUAUUACAUAGAAUACCGAUUGCGAAGGCAGUCUACUAACUAACAACUGACGCUAAUGGACGAAAGCGUGGGGAGCGAACAGG